This 366-nucleotide long non-coding RNA is filed under the name Bos taurus (domestic cattle). RNAcentral's name for it is "long non-coding RNA NONBTAT020122". The record is from RNAcentral. Lineage: Eukaryota; Metazoa; Chordata; Mammalia; Artiodactyla; Bovidae.
GGGAGUCUGUACUAAAGCCAUCAGUCGCCAGACCUGGUGGUUUGAAAAGGUGUUUUACGGCUUCCAUCUCAAGUUAGUUAACCAACAUUAAAAAUAAAUUCACUACAAUGCUCUGCUUCCAGUUAAAUGCUCUGCAUGAAUUCUUCAAAGUUUUUUUAUGCCAUCUUGAGAAUUCCUGGAGUUCACUGCCUUAAAGUGGUGGUUAGACUCCACUUAGACCAAGUGCCUUGGAUAGAACCUGGAGGCAAAGUCCACAUCCUAAAAUACAGUGUCUCUUCAAUAAAACACUAGGUGUUUUUUUCUGUGUAGCCAGAGAAAUGAUUUUGCAUUUAAACUACUGUAUCUAAGUUGCUACUUUUUCCCACC